This 77-nucleotide transfer RNA is filed under the name Cognatiyoonia koreensis. Its description in RNAcentral is "tRNA_Arg_CCT". It matches the Rfam family "tRNA". From Rfam's summary of the family: Transfer RNA (tRNA) molecules are approximately 80 nucleotides in length. Lineage: Bacteria; Pseudomonadati; Pseudomonadota; Alphaproteobacteria; Rhodobacterales; Paracoccaceae. The record is from RNAcentral.
GAUCCCGUGGCUCAACUGGACAGAGCAGCCCCCUCCUAAGGGGCAGGUUGCAGGUUCGAAUCCUGCCGGGGUCGCCA